This is an unclassified non-coding RNA of Pongo abelii (Sumatran orangutan), 148 nucleotides long. It matches the Rfam family "Metazoan signal recognition particle RNA". From Rfam's summary of the family: The signal recognition particle (SRP) is a universally conserved ribonucleoprotein. It is involved in the co-translational targeting of proteins to membranes. NCBI's taxonomy places the organism in Eukaryota, Metazoa, Chordata, Mammalia, Primates, Hominidae. The record is from Ensembl.
GCCAGGCGUGGUGGUGCAUGCCUGUAGUCCCAGCUACUGGGCAGGCUGAGGCAGAAGGAUUGCUUAAGCCCAGGAGUUCAAGGGUGCAGUGAGCUGUGAUCGUGCCACUGCACUCCAGCCUGGGCAAGAGAGUGAGACUCUGUCUCAA